Molecule: ribosomal RNA, 1321 nt
Filed under: Escherichia coli 97.0003
Lineage: Bacteria; Pseudomonadati; Pseudomonadota; Gammaproteobacteria; Enterobacterales; Enterobacteriaceae
Description: partial 23S ribosomal RNA
Source: RNAcentral
GUCAGCGUAUAACUGAUGAUGGCUGAUUGCAUCGCGAGAGGAGAACGAUUAAGGCUAUGAGCGAUUGCGGGUAAGGCGGUAUUCAGAAUAGUGGCAUCAAGUGCCUGCAUGAAGAAGGCCAUCGCCGCGAUCCACGGCAAACCCGCCAUACUGCGCUUCUUUUUAUCGCUCAUUCAAUGUCCUGUUAUCGGGUUAUCACUUAUCAGGUGAGCGUAGCAGCGCCUGACAAGCUUUAAAUGCCGCGUCGCCAUCGCUUUGGAUAAUCGCAUCGACUAUCGCCUGAUGCAGAUCCAGCUUUAUCACUGUGUCGCUGGUAAUUGACGUGAAGUAAGUGUGAUAAACCGAAUGGAAUAGCGAGGCGAAUGAGGUCAAAAACGGAUUGGCGCUCAUUUCAUAGAUAUGCUCAUGCCAGGCCAUAUCGACUUCGAUCCAGCGUUCACGGCGAAAGUUCUCUUUUAAUGCCGCCAUUUCGGCCAUUAACGUAUUGAGAUGCGCUUUCUGUUCCGCGGUGCCAACCGUUGCUGCCAGUAGGCAAGCUUGUGGCUCCAGACAGAUACGCAUAACCAGAAAGUGAUCGAUGACCUGAUGAAAGUUCUCUUCUGUCAUCCACCAGGUAAGCAAUUCCUGAUCAAGAAAAUUCCAGUUCGAUUGUGGCAUGACCCGGGUACCAAUUCGCGGUCGCGGUAAAACCAUCCCUUUUGCCGUUAACGUUUUGACCGCUUCGCGUACCGCUGUACGACUCACUCCAAAUUGCUCGCCCAGCUCAAUCUCACCGGGCAAAAUGGUGCCGGGUUCAUAUUCACCUUUUAAGAUCCGUUGCGCCAGCUUCUCAGCCAGAACAUACGAAAGGUUUUUCUGUGCAGCUAACUGUUGUGCGCUUAAAGGCAUUACUAAUCUUCCUUUUUCUUUUUAUUCCUCCUUAGUAUGCCACCAGGAAGUGUGAUUACGGUUGCAAAAACGGCAAAUUGCUUGUUUUAUGGCACAUUAACGGGGCUUUUGCUGAAAAAAUGCGCGGUCAGAAAAUUAUUUUAAAUUUCCUCUUGUCAGACCGGAAUAACUCCCUAUAAUGCGCCACCACUGACACGGAACAACGGCAAGCACGCCGCCGGGUCAGCGGGGUUCUCCUGAGAAUUCCGGCAGAGAAAGCAAAAAUAAAUGCUUGACUCUGUAGCGGGAAAGCGUAUUAUGCACACCCCGCGCCGCUGAGAAAAAGCGAAGCGGCACUGCUCUUUAACAAUUUAUCAGACAAUCUGUGUGGGCACUCGAAGAUACGGAUUCUUAACGUCGCAAGACGAAAAAUGAAUACCAAGUCUCAAGAGUG